AGGCCAUCCUAAAAUUUUGACAUGACUUAUGCUAUAAAGUAAGAUGUAUCGAGUGACAGGUACACUUGUAUCUCUGUGAAUCCAUCCUUGUCUUCCUCUGAACCCUCGUCAUCCAAGUGAUACACAUACAUACACCUAAAAGGAGCUCACGUUACAUGUCCUCUUGCGCGACAAGGGCAUCCAAAUCACUGAUAUCAUUACGAUGAAUCUCUUCCCCUUGCACAUAAUCAUUAGUAACAACGUCAUCACCAUCAGCUUGAAU
Molecule: long non-coding RNA, 262 nt
Filed under: Hordeum vulgare
Lineage: Eukaryota; Viridiplantae; Streptophyta; Magnoliopsida; Poales; Poaceae
Description: long non-coding RNA (HVUL_LNC021207)
Source: RNAcentral